CCUACGGGGGGCAGCAGUGAGGAAUAUUGGUCAAUGGACGGAAGUCUGAACCAGCCAUGCCGCGUGCAGGAAGACGGCUCUAUGAGUUGUAAACUGCUUUUGUACAAGGGUAAACCUGAAUACGUGUAUUUAGCUGAAAGUACUGUACGAAUAAGGAUCGGCUAACUCCGUGCCAGCAGCCGCGGUAAUACGGAGGAUCCAAGCGUUAUCCGGAUUUAUUGGGUUUAAAGGGUGCGUAGGCGGAUUGAUAAGUUAGAGGUGAAAUGUCCGGGCUUAACUCGGGAACUGCCUCUAAUACUGUGGAUGUAGAGAGUAGGUGCGGUAGGCGGAAUGUGUGGUGUAGCGGUGAAAUGCUUAGAGAUCAUACAGAACACCGAUUGCGAAGGCAGCUUACCAAUCUAUAUCUGACGUUGAGGCACGAAAGCGUGGGGAGCGAACAGGAUUAGAUACCCCAGUAGUC
Molecule: ribosomal RNA, 460 nt
Filed under: uncultured bacterium
Lineage: Bacteria
Description: partial 16S ribosomal RNA
Rfam family: Bacterial small subunit ribosomal RNA
Source: RNAcentral